GGAUCUAGCGGCGGACGGGUUAGUAACGCGUGGGAACGUACCCAGAUCUACGGAAUAGCCUCGGGAAACUGAGAGUAAUACCGUAUACGCCCUUCGGGGGAAAGAUUUAUCGGAUUUGGAUCGGCCCGCGUAAGAUUAGAUAGUUGGUGGGGUAAUGGCCUACCAAGUCUACGAUCUUUAGCUGGUUUGAGAGGAUGAUCAGCAACACUGGGACUGAGACACGGCCCAGACUCCUACGGGAGGCAGCAGUGGGGAAUCUUAGACAAUGGGCGCAAGCCUGAUCUAGCGAUGCCGCGUGAGUGAUGAAGGCCUUAGGGUCGUAAAGCUCUUUCGCCUGUGAAGAUAAUGACGGUAGCAGGUAAAGAAACCCCGGCUAACUCCGUGCCAGCAGCCGCGGUAAUACGGAGGGGGUUAGCGUUGUUCGGAAUUACUGGGCGUAAAGCGCACGUAGGCGGACUAGUCAGUCAGAGGUGAAAUCCCAGGGCUCAACCCUGGAACUGCCUUUGAUACUGCUAGUCUUGAGUUCGAGAGAGGU
RNAcentral lists this ribosomal RNA (535 nucleotides) under Celeribacter sp. Ar-25. RNAcentral's name for it is "bacterial SSU rRNA". It matches the Rfam family "Bacterial small subunit ribosomal RNA", at positions 88 to 658 of the family's 1533-position model. Lineage: Bacteria; Pseudomonadati; Pseudomonadota; Alphaproteobacteria; Rhodobacterales; Roseobacteraceae. The record is from RNAcentral.